ACUCUAAAUGUUGUUGCAGAUAUUGCUCUCGUGGACUCUAUUGCUUUGUGCUUACUGUAUGUUUUCUGGAGUUCACUAAAAAUAUAAUUGCAAGUUCCUCCCGCUUCUCCUUUCAGUUGAUUCAAAGCCAGUUCCCUCUCCAUUCAUCAUGAAGAAUCUUGUGAUCUUGGUGUCUGUUCUGGCACUCAUGAGCUGUGCAAUGGCCGGAGGCUGCGGUCGUCAGAGGUGUACACCAAAUGCUGCGGGGAAAAUGGAAUGUAUUUGUUACGACGAAAAUUGGAAACCCACAGGAAGUUAUGUAAGCAAAAGAGACGCAGAGGCGGCUAUGGCUGAAGAAAACUGAAAAGCAGAUUGCAAUCAACCCAGAUGUUCAGCAGGUUCACCAAAAGAUCUCAAAGGCACACCUUCACUGCUUGAUACCUCCACUCCAUUCACGUCUUCCAUUAGCCCUGAACCCUGAUUUCAUGGGCAGUCACCCCAGUUGCCUCAAGGAACCUGUCAAAAUUCAGCAACUGCAAAUAAAUUGUGGUCUUCAAGCCUGUCAU
Molecule: long non-coding RNA, 545 nt
Organism: Podarcis raffonei (Aeolian wall lizard)
Lineage: Eukaryota; Metazoa; Chordata; Lepidosauria; Squamata; Lacertidae
Exons: 3
Source: RefSeq, a predicted model, not a curated record